AGCAGCCGCGGUAAUUCCAGCUCCAAUAACGUAUAUUAAAGUUGUUGCAGUUAAAAAGCUCGUAGUUGAAUUUCGGGAUCAAUUUGCUGGUCGUGCCUCCGGUACGUACUGGUAUUUAUUGGUUUCUCCCUUCUGACUAACCAUGAUGUCAUUCAUUUGGUGUUGUGGGGAAUCAGGACUGUUACUUUAGAAAAAUUAGAGUGUUUAAAGCAGGCAUAAGCUUGAAUACAUUAGCAUGGAAUAAUGAAAUAGGACGUUUGAUCCUAUUUUGUUGGUUUCUAGGAUCGACGUAAUGAUUAAUAGGGAUAGUUGGGGGCAUUAGUAUUCAAUUGUCAGAGGUGAAAUUCUUGGAUUUAUUGAAGACUAACUACUGCGAAAGCAUUUGCCAAGGAUGUUUUCAUUAAUCAAGAACGAAAGUUAGGGGAUCGAAGACGAUCAGAUACCGUCGUAGUCUUAACCAUAAACUAUGCCGACUAGGGAUCGGGAUGAUGUUUAAUUUUUAAUGUACUCAUUCGGCGCC
Molecule: ribosomal RNA, 520 nt
Filed under: uncultured Glomus
Lineage: Eukaryota; Fungi; Glomeromycota; Glomeromycetes; Glomerales; Glomeraceae
Description: SSU rRNA
Rfam family: Eukaryotic small subunit ribosomal RNA
Source: RNAcentral